Molecule: ribosomal RNA, 226 nt
Filed under: uncultured bacterium
Lineage: Bacteria
Description: partial 16S ribosomal RNA
Rfam family: Bacterial small subunit ribosomal RNA
Source: RNAcentral
GAUCAUGGCUCAGAUUGAACGCUGGCGGCAGGCCUAACACAUGCAAGUCGAGCGGAUGAAGAGAGCUUGCUCUCUGAUUCAGCGGCGGACGGGUGAGUAAUGCCUAGGAAUCUGCCUGAUAGUGGGGGACAACGUUUCGAAAGGAACGCUAAUACCGCAUACGUCCUACGGGAGAAAGCAGGGACCUUCGGCUUGCGCUAUCAGAUGAGGCCUAGGUCGGAGUUAG